GCACUGAAAGUGAGAGUUGGAGGAACGCAAACUGAUUGAUUCAAGGCCAAAAACAUCAUCACUGAAUCAGGUUGUUUUUCUCCAAUAUCUCACCUUCAGUUG
This 102-nucleotide microRNA precursor is filed under the name Dichanthelium oligosanthes. RNAcentral describes it as "MIR2275 microRNA precursor family". It matches the Rfam family "MIR2275 microRNA precursor family". Lineage: Eukaryota; Viridiplantae; Streptophyta; Magnoliopsida; Poales; Poaceae. The record is from Rfam by way of RNAcentral.